UGAGGAAUAUUGGUCAAUGGACGCAAGUCUGAACCAGCCAAGUAGCGUGCAGGAUGACGGCCCUAUGGGUUGUAAACUGCUUUUAUAUGGGGAUAAAGUGGGGAACGUGUUCCCUUUUGCAGGUACCAUAUGAAUAAGGACCGGCUAAUUCCGUGCCAGCAGCCGCGGUAAUACGGAAGGUUCGGGCGUUAUCCGGAUUUAUUGGGUUUAAAGGGAGCGUAGGCCGUUUGGUAAGCGUGUUGUGAAAUGUAGGAGCUCAACUUCUAGAUUGCAGCGGGAACUGUCAGACUUGAGUGGGCACAACGUAGGCGGAAUUCAUGGUGUAGCGGUGAAAUGCUUAGAUAUCAUGAAGAACUCCGAUGGCGAAGGCAGCUUACGGGAGUGCAACUGACGCUGAAGCUCGAAGGUGCGGGUAUCGAACAGG
This 424-nucleotide ribosomal RNA is filed under the name Verrucomicrobiota bacterium. Its description in RNAcentral is "Verrucomicrobia bacterium partial 16S ribosomal RNA". It matches the Rfam family "Bacterial small subunit ribosomal RNA", at positions 355 to 776 of the family's 1533-position model. Lineage: Bacteria; Pseudomonadati; Verrucomicrobiota. The record is from RNAcentral.